RNAcentral lists this long non-coding RNA (5194 nucleotides) under Triticum aestivum (bread wheat). RNAcentral describes it as "long non-coding RNA (TAES_LNC001517)". Lineage: Eukaryota; Viridiplantae; Streptophyta; Magnoliopsida; Poales; Poaceae. The record is from RNAcentral.
UAAAUUUCUCAUAUUUCCAACAAAAUCAAUGCAUCCAGAACACAUAUAUGCUAGCAGAAAAAAUUGCAGAUUGUCAUAACCUUGAUCUCAUAUGAAGUAACAUUAGUAGAAAACGAAUAAAAUCUUAAAUGGCUUGUACAUUAGGAGAAGGCAAAUAGAUAUGCCGUGUCCAACUGUCCAGAAGAACGAACAUGGUCAUCAGGGGAAAAGAAGAAAUAUACAACACUGGUUCGCUGUUUCCUAAUCAAACAUAUGGUUGGCUUAUCUGGAUAAUCCAAAUUGGUGUUGCUUGCCAGUAAAAUUCGGGGCCGGGAUACUCUGCAUAAAUGUGAUCGAUCUUGUGCCUCAUUUGCACAAAAGGGUAAGAAAAUCAUUUAAAGCACAAAUCCUAGUAACCUAUGGGUUAUAACAAUUAACCCAUAGUAAAGAAAAUACGUAGACGCAUUAUCAACGGCUGCAACCAGAACUAAACGAUCAUCUUUAUCUUUACCAAAUAAUAAAGAGAAUUAGGUUUUUGUCGUCCGUCAUUGUCAUGUUUUCAAAAAAGCCCCUAUUGUUUGUUGAAUUCAACUCGCAGUCCUUUAUCAAGUGAGUUCCUAAAAAACGUUUCAUUGUUGCAAAAGAGCCCCUGCAUUAGUUAAAAUUUAGCCCGCAGUCUGCAGUCAGCCCUUAUAUUCCUUAUCCAUUCCAAGACUCCACCGACGGCCACUCGCCGCCGCUUGGCGCCGGCGUGCACGACGCCGCUCCGACGACCCCUCGCCACCCGGCGUCACCGGCAGCCACCAGCAGGCCGCUGUCCCGUUUCCUCUCAUCCUCCUGCUCACGCCUGCGUCCCACCAUCGUCAGCGAGGAUCACCUCCAGCCUCCCCUUCCUCUGCUCCUCCUCCUCACCUCGCAGUCGAGCGCCGCUCCUGCAGCACCUCCAUCGUCCGCCUCUGUUUGCCGGUGCCCCAUCGCAUGUACCUUCAUCCCACCGCCACCUCCUGCCCUGCGUCGCCUGCCACACACCGCAUCGACCAGGACCGCGUCCCUUCCCAAACGGCCGCGAUGAUGGAGGGCGCCGGCGCGCCGCCCAGCUCCUGACCGACGGAUUCGCCGGCUCCCUGCUCCUCGGGGAAGAGAGGAACAAAGGCGAAGGAGAAGGGGCACAAGGUGAGGGAGGCGGUCGCCGGCGAUGGCAGCUCCGGUGAGCCGCAGGCAGGCAGAGAGACGAGCUCCUCUUGAGGCGGCCGGGCUCGGUGCGGGCUGGUUCAUCCGGAUUGAGCCCUUCCUGCCCGGGCGUCUCCAUCGCCAUGGACGGCCUGCACAGCCCCGACGCCUGCUUCUCUCUUGGGAGGGCCAUGUCGCCUCAGGUCGGGCCCCCCAUCGGCCCGCCGGACGUAGGCAGGUAAGGACGGACGGCGGCUGAGAUUGGGCCUCGCCUUCUUCUUCUCUGGUAAAGAAAGAAUUGGUUCUUUGGUGCGUUUUGCUGGGUGGGCGGCCUCGCUGAAUUGGUUGCCUCUGUUUUUUUCAUUUGUCAUCGAAUGUCCACCGACAGAGACCAGCACCCUCUGGAUCGCCAAGCUCUGUUCAGACCAAAAGAUAAGCGCGGAUAAGUACAAUUCACCAUAAUCUACAAGUGUAUAUCAUCGAUCAGUAUAUGUUUGUCAUUGCCAAGUAGAUAUACUGCUGCAGAUUGCCCAAUGGAUAAAGCAAUAGAGCAGUGCUACACACACGAUGAUGUGCGCACGAUUCAUGCACGACAACAGAUCCCUGUCCGUCCAUGCAUGUAGCAGAGUCCAGCAGACCGUUUGAUCCCGCAUCGUUCAUCUGUCGUGCAUACUGUUGUCGUCUGCGCAGCAGUUCCGUUAUUGAUGGCCUAGCCACUAAACAGUGAAUGAAGGAGUCAGAGGUAGCUUGAAGUGCAAAUGCUUCACCGGCUCUGAUAAAACUCAUGUCUGCACAUGGAGCAGUACAAGCUAGCUACGACGCUGGAUCGAUUUCAUCCACUGGCUGUGGACGAAUGUACAUGAAUGCUCAAGGAGCGCUGACCUCGGCGUCGAAAACUCGGGGCUCAGACGACAACGCCGAUCCGAAGCCCCGGCGGCAGAUCCACGCGGNNNNNNNNNNNNNNNNNNNNNNNNNNNNNNNNNNNNNNNNNNNNNNNNNNNNNNNNNNNNNNNNNNNNNNNNNNNNNNNNNNNNNNNNNNNNNNNNNNNNNNNNNNNNNNNNNNNNNNNNNNNNNNNNNNNNNNNNNNNNNNNNNNNNNNNNNNNNNNNNNNNNNNNNNNNNNNNNNNNNNNNNNNNNNNNNNNNNNNCAUACGCAGCCGCCCCGCAAGUGGCCGACGAAAGCUUGGAGGAUUGUAGAGAGGAGGGAAGAGAGAAGGGGAACGCGGCGCCGUGGACUGGAGCACGGUCGCGUGGGUGUGUGUGUGGCUGGAGCAGGGAGAAGAGGCGAAGUGGAUAAGGCACGCAGUGGGAGAUAGCUCUCGGUGUGGAUUGCUUUUUUAGUUGGCUGCACCGACCAGAAGCUCCUAGAUGUUGCUAUACGUGCCAGCACCGAAUGCAUUUUAUUUUUCUUCUAAAUGAGCACCAAUAUAAUAAUUGGUAAUAAUUGGUUACUGUUGUUUGUUGACACUGUUAUAGUUUAAUUUUUAUGCCUACCACAUCUUAUGAAUACAUCAUGUGAUAUACAAUAAUUAAAAAUGAGUAAAAUAUUUGAAUAAAUAGUUCUUAAGGAAGAAGAUAUUUGGAGCUCACCGGGACUUGGCAAUUAAGAUAUUCCCCAACUCUGGAUGUUACCGACAUCGUUGGUGAGAUAAGAAGGAGAGAGAGGGUUGGAUGAAGAGUGAUCACGAUGCAUCUUGAAGUUUACCUUUUUUUUCUAGACAAUCCAAUUGAAAUUUACAUGUGAUGGGUAACACAGAAAAGCUUGCUUUUUUAUGGUGAUGUUGGCCAAGUUCAAAUAAUGCAAAAGAAAAGGAACAAAAUAUAAUCUUGCAAAACAAAUAACCAACAUUAUCUCUUUGCUUUCGAAUAUUAACAAAAAAUUUGUAUAAACAAUCCCAAUUCAAUGCACCAUUACUCUUUCGCCCAACAAAAUCUUUUGAAAAUUCUACAAAAACUUUUGAAUUAGUUAUUAAACCCUCGAAUAGUAUACAACAAUCCCAUCGUCUGUAUAUCCGGCUAGAAACAAAUACAACAUUCCUCUUCCAGCCGAUGACAGUGCUAAGCUGAAGGAGGCGCCAUCCAAGGACAUCCCUACGACUUUCUCAACUUUAUACUACAUAGUAUGGGCAUCGAGUGUGUUUUUUUUUAAAUCGCGUACCUUUUCUUGUUUUAAAAAAAACAUGUUUUUAAAUAUAUAUAUAUGUUUAAAAAAGAUCUUAGAAUCCCCCAAAAAUGUUUUAAUUAAAAUUAUAUUUAAAAAUUCUCGUUCAGAAAAACAUGUGUAAAGAAUGUUCAUUUUCAAAACAUGUUUCAGUUCUGCUAAAAGAUUAAAAAUUCAAAUUGUUUAAUUAUUUUAAAAUAAUAAAAUGUUUGUGUUUUCCCAAAAAUAAAAUAUAGAACCGAUUACUAGACUAUUCCAUGCACCCCUACCCUUCCAUCAAAUGAAGGAUGUUAGGGUGGCUUCUUUGCGUCCAUACUUCAUACUUCAAAAAAUGAACAGUAUAAACUUAUUACUUAUGUUUAUCAGAACUGUAUAUAAGAAAUGGCGCGUACUAUCACACGGAGCAGGUUUUACGAUAUUUUUCUCCCGUUGCAACGCACGGACCCUUUUUGCUAGUUACAUUUAAAGGGUCGAGGUCAUACUAUUUUUGAAAGUUCAGUGCCCAAGUCCACAAUGCAAAGACAUAGAGGAUUUACUUCAGUUUGUAGCAGAAGCCCAAUAACUUAGAAUCGUCAGCCUGCAUAUAUCAAAAACAAAGCUAGGGAAAUACUUUUGUGAUUUGAAAAACUGAUAUCAUAUAGAAGAAACAACAGAAGUUGUACCAAAUCAUUAGUUUGGUUAAGAAAUCAGCAAACACAUAACACUGGCAUUGGUUCGCCAUGAACCGUGGUAUUGAAAGAGGUACUAUUCUUCUUCCUUUUACCUUUUCCUUUCUAGAAUAAAUAAUCUUGGUCUAGACAUUUUUUUACAUAACCACAACAAUAGGAAAUUAUAGAAACUGAAUCAUGUAGGAAAGUUGCAUAUUCUUUGAAUAUCAUGCAACGUUUUCCUCACCAGAGAAGAGGUGGAGAAGCUGUUGCCAACCAGAGUGCCCAUGGCGGCUCUCUGGGAAAUUCAUACAGGCACACAACGUAAGAAGCAUAGUAAUAGGAUAGGAGUGGCCGAUAAUUAAAUAUGACCACUAUCAUGUGCAUUGGCAGGAUCAAAAUAUGAUUUCAGUCAAUCCUAUCCAUUUGUUUCCAUUAUUUCUGAAGCGGUCAAUAAAGCUCAAGCCCUUAAUGCGAAAACAAUGGAAGAUCUGUUUAUGCACUUCUUUAUCCUUUAAGAGAACACUUCUAGUGUGUUCUGUUGCUUCGCAACGGUAAGCAACAGUAAUUGAACUCAGCAAUAAGGAGGUAAAAAGAUUAUCUUCUCGAUGAGGCCAAGCCAUAGCAGAAUGAAUAAGAUCUCCAAAACCCAACAAAUCAUAAACGAAUUUAAAGAACUCAUAAGUGAACCAUGGAGAUAUAAAUGGGAUAUGUAAUCACCUUGAAAUGUAAAAGAUCUUACAGGAUUUGGAGAGUAAAAGGAACUUACAAAUGAUUGGCUACAAUCAAGCAUUGGUGGGGGAGCAACAGUCUCUGGGUUCCCCAUAGAUAAAAGCGGCUUUACAUGUGCUGAUCAUUGUCAUUGUCUGAAACAAAAAGGGUGUUACUGUUAGCAUGAAGAUAUAAUCGCAUCAAUUCACCUCACUGUAAAUGGGGCUUGGGCGACGUGAACAUCAUCAGAGAAAAGAGCCACUAAUAAAGCAAAAGACCUACCAGAAGUUCUAGUUUACAGAGAUAAUCUUCUCUUCAUCUUUUGAGAAAACACAAAUGACGAGUUUAGGCAUUGGUAAGAAGCAUAGUAAUAGGAUAGGAGUGGCCGAUAUAUUGCGCAUCUGUUACCACCUAGUUGCUCAAUCCCUUUGGUGGAAAGUGUAAAAGAAACUUACUUGCAUUAGGCCGUCGGGAAGCAGAAGAGGAACGGCGGGCGGCGGGGCGGACGCCAAGCUGGGCGGUCGGG